RNAcentral lists this ribosomal RNA (690 nucleotides) under Triticum aestivum (bread wheat). Its description in RNAcentral is "partial small subunit ribosomal RNA". Lineage: Eukaryota; Viridiplantae; Streptophyta; Magnoliopsida; Poales; Poaceae. The record is from RNAcentral.
AUGGCCACUUCAUCAGUCCUCCUCCCUGUGCUCCUCCUGGUGGCCGUCGCCGGCGCGGAGGCGGCGACCUUCACGGUGAUCAACAAGUGCCAGUACACGGUGUGGGCGGCGGCGGUGCCGGCCGGCGGGGGCAGGAAGCUGGACGCGGGGCAGACGUGGAGCAUAGACGUGCCGGCGGGCACGACGAGCGGGCGGGUGUGGGCGCGCACGGGGUGCAGCUUCGACGGCGCCGGCAACGGGCGGUGCCAGACGGGGGACUGCGGCGGGAAGCUGCAGUGCACGCAGUACGGGCAGGCGCCCAACACGCUGGCGGAGUUCGGGCUGAACAAGUACAUGGGCCAGGACUUCUUCGACAUCUCCCUCAUCGACGGGUUCAACGUGCCCAUGUCGUUCGUGCCAGCACCCGGCACCUCCGGGUGCCCCAAGGGCGGGCCGCGGUGCCCGAGGGUGAUCACGCCGCAGUGCCCCAGCGAGCUGCGGGCCGCCGGAGGGUGCAACAACGCGUGCACGGUGUUCAAGGAGGACCGGUACUGCUGCACAGGGUCGGCGGCCAACAACUGCGGGCCGACGGACUACUCGAGGUUCUUCAAGGGGCAGUGCUCCGACGCCUACAGCUACCCCAAGGACGACGCCACCAGCAUCUUCACCUGCCCCGGCGGCACCAACUACCAGGUCAUCUUCUGCCCAUGA